This 84-nucleotide transfer RNA is filed under the name Candidatus Peregrinibacteria bacterium. RNAcentral's name for it is "tRNA-Ser". It matches the Rfam family "tRNA". Rfam says of the family: Transfer RNA (tRNA) molecules are approximately 80 nucleotides in length. Their secondary structure includes four short double-helical elements and three loops (D, anti-codon, and T loops). The record is from RNAcentral. Lineage: Bacteria; Candidatus Peregrinibacteriota.
GGAUAGUUGUCCGAACGGUAAGGAAGUGCACUGCUAAUGCAUCGAGUGUGAAAGCUCUUAUAGGUUCAAAUCCUAUACUAUCCG